Molecule: transfer RNA, 76 nt
Filed under: Candidatus Buchananbacteria bacterium CG10_big_fil_rev_8_21_14_0_10_42_9
Lineage: Bacteria; Candidatus Buchananiibacteriota
Description: tRNA-Ile
Rfam family: tRNA
About the family: Transfer RNA (tRNA) molecules are approximately 80 nucleotides in length.
Source: RNAcentral
GGGCCUGUAGCUCAGCGGUUAGAGCACCGCCCUUAUAAGGCGGGGGUCGGCGGUUCGAUUCCUCCCAGGCCCACCA